AAUAGGAGGAUGACAAAUCAAAUUUUUACUCUUUCAAUUUUUUUUCCUGAAAUAAUUCAAAUCCAACUGAAAAUGCUAAAAAUCAGGAGUAAAAAUCUGAUUUGUUAUUCUCCUAUU
Molecule: non-coding RNA, 117 nt
Organism: Gossypium raimondii (Peruvian cotton)
Lineage: Eukaryota; Viridiplantae; Streptophyta; Magnoliopsida; Malvales; Malvaceae
Source: Rfam